GUCCACGCCGUAAACGAUGUUCACUAGGUGUUGGGGGUAUUGACCCCCUCAGUGCCGGAGCUAACGCGUUAAGUGAACCGCCUGGGGAGUACGGUCGCAAGACUAAAACUACAAAGGAAUUGACGGGGGCCCGCACAAGCGGUGGAGCAUGUGGUUUAAUUCGAUGCAACGCGAAGAACCUUACCUGGGCUUGACAUCCACGGAACCUGCUGGAAACAGUGGGGUGCCUUUCGGGGAGCCGUGAGACAGGUGCUGCAUGGCUGUCGU
RNAcentral lists this ribosomal RNA (267 nucleotides) under uncultured bacterium. RNAcentral describes it as "partial 16S ribosomal RNA". It matches the Rfam family "Bacterial small subunit ribosomal RNA", at positions 793 to 1055 of the family's 1533-position model. The record is from RNAcentral.